RNAcentral lists this ribosomal RNA (253 nucleotides) under uncultured bacterium. RNAcentral's name for it is "partial 16S ribosomal RNA". It matches the Rfam family "Bacterial small subunit ribosomal RNA", at positions 524 to 776 of the family's 1533-position model. The record is from RNAcentral.
UACGUAGGGGGCAAGCGUUAUCCGGAUUUACUGGGUGUAAAGGGAGCGUAGACGGUUAAUCAAGUCAGAAGUGAAAACCCAGGGCUCAACCUUGGGACUGCUUUUGAAACUGAGUAGCUAGAGUGCAGGAGAGGUAAGCGGAAUUCCUAGUGUAGCGGUGAAAUGCGUAGAUAUUAGGAGGAACACCAGUGGCGAAGGCGGCUUACUGGACUGUAACUGACGUUGAGGCUCGAAAGCGUGGGGAGCAAACAGG